UAAUACAAGAGAAAAGAGAGAAAUGCGUCAACAUUCCCCUCUUUUGCAGAACCGUUAAAGACGGUAGCCAAAUAGAAGAAACAAAAA
This is a small RNA of 87 nucleotides. It matches the Rfam family "RNA anti-toxin A".